CCUACGGGGGGCAGCAGUGGGGAAUAUUGGACAAUGGGCGAAAGCCUGAUCCAGCCAUGCCGCGUGUGUGAAGAAGGCCUUCGGGUUGUAAAGCACUUUCAGUGGGGAAGAAAGCCUUGGGGCUAAUACCCUCGAGGAAGGACAUCACCCACAGAAGAAGCACCGGCUAACUCCGUGCCAGCAGCCGCGGUAAUACGGAGGGUGCGAGCGUUAAUCGGAAUUACUGGGCGUAAAGCGCGCGUAGGCGGUCUGAUAAGCCGGUUGUGAAAGCCCCGGGCUCAACCUGGGAACGGCAUCCGGAACUGUCAGGCUAGAAUGCAGGAGAGGAAGGUAGAGUUCCCGGUGUGGCGGUGAAAUGCGUAGAGAUCGGGAGGAAUACCAGUGGCGAAGGCGGCCUACUAGACUGACACUGACGCUGAGGUGCGAAAGCGUGGGUAGCAAACAGGAUUAGAUACCCUUGUAGUC
RNAcentral lists this ribosomal RNA (465 nucleotides) under Vreelandella stevensii. Its description in RNAcentral is "partial 16S ribosomal RNA". It matches the Rfam family "Bacterial small subunit ribosomal RNA", at positions 338 to 795 of the family's 1533-position model. Lineage: Bacteria; Pseudomonadati; Pseudomonadota; Gammaproteobacteria; Oceanospirillales; Halomonadaceae. The record is from RNAcentral.